Molecule: non-coding RNA, 81 nt
Organism: Drosophila virilis
Lineage: Eukaryota; Metazoa; Arthropoda; Insecta; Diptera; Drosophilidae
Source: Rfam
CAAGUCAAUGUCAAAGUGUUGCCUGGCUUGUUGUUGCCUUACAGCAAAGUUAAUUGCGCUGCACGCGCACGCCACAAGACG